This 495-nucleotide ribosomal RNA is filed under the name uncultured bacterium. RNAcentral's name for it is "partial 16S ribosomal RNA". It matches the Rfam family "Bacterial small subunit ribosomal RNA", at positions 28 to 507 of the family's 1533-position model. The record is from RNAcentral.
GACGAACGCUGGCGGCGUGCCUAAUACAUGCAAGUAGAACGCUGAAGGAGGAGCUUGCUUCUCUGGAUGAGUUGCGAACGGGUGAGUAACGCGUAGGUAACCUGCCUGGUAGCGGGGGAUAACUAUUGGAAACGAUAGCUAAUACCGCAUAAGAGUAGAUGUUGCAUGACAUUUGCUUAAAAGGUGCAAUUGCAUCACUACCAGAUGGACCUGCGUUGUAUUAGCUAGUUGGUGGGGUAACGGCUUACCAAGGCGACGAUACAUAGCCGACCUGAGAGGGGGAUCGGCCACACUGGGACUGAGACACGGCCCAGACUCCUACGGGAGGCAGCAGUAGGGAAUCUUCGGCAAAGGACGGAAGUCUGACCGAGCAACGCCGCGUGAGUGAAGAAGGUUUUCGGAUCGUAAAGCUCUGUUGUAAGAGAAGAACGAGUGUGAGAGUGGAAAGUUCACACUGUGACGGUAUCUUACCAGAAAGGGACGGCUAACUACGUG